AUGGCGAUCAUCGCCAUGAUUGCUAUGACCUACGAGGAGGAGAUUCAGCAAGACUUUGAGCUGUGGCUCCGUUAUGCUGUGUCAUGCAAAGCGAGGGUUAUUCGACUCGAAAUGACUGUUUAUCGUCCUUUGAGGAUAUUUCCUGGGACUCUCAUCUCCCAGCACUUGACAAGGUUAAUUCUUCAUCGUGUCCAGUUUGAGGAUUUCUCUCUUGAUGUUUUGGGCUGUCAGUUACUGGAGGUGUUGGACAUUCAAGACUGUAUAAUCGACAUUGAGACUGUUUUCCCAAAAUCUCUACAACAUCUGGCGAUCAGAGAUACAGGUCUUUUCCCAAUGGAAACCCGGUGUGUUAUAUCUGCGCCAGGUCUGGUUUUCUUGGAACUAUACGACUGUUUGGGUUGGACUCCGUUGCUUGAGAGCCUGCCAUCAUUGGUAACGGCAUUUAUCAACACUGGACCCUACUGCAGAGAUAAUUGUAGAAAUAGUUCUAACGCGGACUGUGGUCUCGAGUCAUGUGUGGAGUGCUAUGGUAUAGAUGAUUGUGUGCUUCUCCAAGGUUUAUCAGCCGCUACAAAUUUAGAGCUGAUAACCUGCAAGUCUAUGAUCUUCAGAAAUGAUAUAAAAUGGUCCCCGAUGUUUAGCAAGGUAAAAACAUUGUUGCUUGGUGACUGGUGUAUGGCUGCUAACUUCAGUGGACUAGUUUACUUUCUCCAGCACUCACCAAUUCUACAGAGGCUUACGCUUGAACUUGCUAGUCGCUCUGAGGAAUUUCUCAUUGAAACGAGUGAGAUCUACAACCCAGCGGAACAAUUUUUGGUAUCAAAACAUCUCAAGGCAGUCAAAAUCAAUCAUGUGAAAGACGAUAAAAGGAUUCACCAAUUAUUGAAGGUCCUUGCUUAUCAUGGAGUACAUUUGGAACUAAUAAACAUUGAAGAGAAGGAGGACGCUCGUGAACGCUUCAGUUUUCAGCACAAGUAG
RNAcentral lists this ribosomal RNA (978 nucleotides) under Triticum aestivum (bread wheat). Its description in RNAcentral is "partial small subunit ribosomal RNA". The record is from RNAcentral. Lineage: Eukaryota; Viridiplantae; Streptophyta; Magnoliopsida; Poales; Poaceae.